This 71-nucleotide transfer RNA is filed under the name Bos taurus (domestic cattle). It matches the Rfam family "tRNA". From Rfam's summary of the family: Transfer RNA (tRNA) molecules are approximately 80 nucleotides in length. Their secondary structure includes four short double-helical elements and three loops (D, anti-codon, and T loops). Further hydrogen bonds mediate the characteristic L-shaped molecular structure. tRNAs have two regions of fundamental functional importance: the anti-codon, which is responsible for specific mRNA codon recognition, and the 3' end, to which the tRNAs corresponding amino acid is attached (by aminoacyl-tRNA synthetases). tRNAs cope with the degeneracy of the genetic code in two manners: having more than one tRNA (with a specific anti-codon) for a particular amino acid; and 'wobble' base-pairing, i.e. permitting non-standard base-pairing at the 3rd anti-codon position. The record is from Rfam by way of RNAcentral. RNAcentral also lists the same sequence under 2 other names. Lineage: Eukaryota; Metazoa; Chordata; Mammalia; Artiodactyla; Bovidae.
UCCCUAGUGGCUCAGAAGGUAAAGCAUCUGCUUGCCUGCAGGAGACCAGGGUUCAAUCCCUGGAUUGGGAA